GCGGACGUGGCGGAACUGGCAGACGCACUGGAUUUAGGUUCCAGCGCCGCAAGGCGUGCGGGUUCGACUCCCGCCGUCCGCACCA
Molecule: transfer RNA, 85 nt
Filed under: Alphaproteobacteria bacterium
Lineage: Bacteria; Pseudomonadati; Pseudomonadota; Alphaproteobacteria
Also listed under: 7 other names
Description: tRNA-Leu
Rfam family: tRNA
About the family: Transfer RNA (tRNA) molecules are approximately 80 nucleotides in length. Their secondary structure includes four short double-helical elements and three loops (D, anti-codon, and T loops). Further hydrogen bonds mediate the characteristic L-shaped molecular structure. tRNAs have two regions of fundamental functional importance: the anti-codon, which is responsible for specific mRNA codon recognition, and the 3' end, to which the tRNAs corresponding amino acid is attached (by aminoacyl-tRNA synthetases). tRNAs cope with the degeneracy of the genetic code in two manners: having more than one tRNA (with a specific anti-codon) for a particular amino acid; and 'wobble' base-pairing, i.e. permitting non-standard base-pairing at the 3rd anti-codon position.
Source: RNAcentral